Molecule: long non-coding RNA, 2858 nt
Filed under: Solanum tuberosum (potato)
Lineage: Eukaryota; Viridiplantae; Streptophyta; Magnoliopsida; Solanales; Solanaceae
Description: long non-coding RNA (STUB_LNC000475)
Source: RNAcentral
AUGUUAUUUAUAUCAACGCAACUAGUUUUGUGUUACCAGAGAUGGUUGAUGAUUUUUGGAUAUUUACAGAAUUUGGUAGGUCUGGUUUUCUUGGUGCAGUUGUAUCCGUAAGUUUUCUGAUUUUGCUAUGUAGGUAUGGAGUAUGAGAGAUCUGUGAGUUGCAGAAAAGAGUGUCUGCAGAAUGCUUGGCCUCCUGUGCUGUGGAAGUGAGACCUGAAGGAUGAGCUUAUGGCGCAGGGAAUCUCUUUCUGGGUUUUGCAAUUUUUUUUUGAAGUUUGAAUUUGCUUUGAAUUCGCACUUUUGUUGGUUUCUCAAGGCAUCCAAGGACUUCCUGUUAGCAUGAUUGGACAGAUUCUAAAUAUCUGUACAUAUCUAUGUUAUAACUCUAAAUAUUUGUGUAAUGAUAAUAGGAGAUAGCAUAGAUUAAUGUAGCAUAUUUUCAGAGAUAUUACAAUUAGGAAUAGCAUAUAUUUAGGGAUAUAUAGCAGAUUUUUAGGCGUGUAAAUCAGAAUUCUUUCUAUUUAAUGGAAGAAGUCAAAUUUGAGAGAACUCAUUCAACAAAAUUGACAGGAUGAAUGUCUGUAGGCCACGUGGUGGUAGCAAGAGGACAAUAAUUGGAUACUUUGUAGUUUGGUUUUGGUGUGCAUACCCUGUGGACCAUGUUUCUUGCCAUUUUGGUGCUUGCAUUGCAAUCUGGAUAUUGGAUAUUACCAGGUAGUAAGAAAAAAGGUGUUUUGCAAUCUUAUCUUGUUUGGCAUCUCUAGUGAUCUCUCCUGUGUGUACGGGUUUAUGUUCUUUUUGUGCAUGUAACCAUGUGUUUUCCAGUGCAUGAACUUCAAGUUUUCUAAGUAAUCAAUGAGUCCCUUCUCUUUGUCAAAACUACUGUUAUGUGGAAGUUCUAAACGAUGAUAAUAUUUUACACUGGUGUGUGUUGUACUCUGCUGCCAUAAAUUUUUUUAGUCUAGAUGCUUUAUUUUUUGGAUGAUCCAAAUGAUGAGACCCCUGAUUUUCAUUUACACAUGAAAAGUACCCAAACUCAACUUUAGAUCUUCUUAUGACCCUAAGAGCUCCUCUACUUUGGUGUUCUUGCUGCUCUUAUGCUUGUCAUGCCUCUUGAUUUUGUUUGUUUGGAUGCUUGUUCGUAGAUCAACAUGGCGAUCGUGAAGGGAUCAAAUUUGGUAAUUUCGAAGUUUUGUUUCAGUGUGUCCUUUGGUUUUGCACCCUGUUCCUUCGCCAUUUUGGUGCUUGUGCUUGCACUGCAAUUUUUUACUGGCUAGGGAGUUAUGCAAUCUUGUCUUGCAUCUCUCUACUGAUCUCUCCUCUGUUUAUUUUUGGAGAUCUCUCCCCUAUUGUUAAUAUAUUUUUUUGGAACAUGUGUAUCAUGUUCAGAUAUUCAUUCAUUUACGGAGUUGCUUCAGACUGUUAGCCAUUGUGUAAACCGCACACUGUUUUUGCCAUAAAAUAUUGCCAUUUGAACAGUCAAAUAUUGAAUCUAGAGCAGAUCAAGUAAAAAGCAUGGCUCAUCUUUUGUGUAACAAGUCAUGUACACUCUUUAUGUUAUUUAUAUCAACGCAACUAGUUUUGUGUUACCAGAGACAGACGGUUGAUGAUUUUUGGAUAUUUACAGAAUUUGGUAGGUCGGGAUUUGUUGGUGCAGUUGUAUCCGUAAGUUUUCUGAUUUUGCUAUGUAAGUAUGGAGUAUGAGCAGAUCUGUGAGUUGCAGAAAAGAGUGUCUGCAGAAUGCUUGGCCUCCUGUGCUAUGGAAGUGAGACCUGAAGGAUGAGCUUAUGGCGCAGGGAAUCUCUUUCUGGGUUUUGCAAUUUUAUUUUGAAGUUUGAAUUUGCUGUGGAUUCUCACUUUUGUUUGUUUCUCGAGGCAUCCAAGGACUUCCUGUUUAGGUUAUGCCAAUCUCUUUCUGGUUCUAUCCGAGGCAAUGCUGUAAACCUCAUCUCUGGUACCUACAGCAGAUCAUCUUUUCUUGCAUCUUCUCCUCGGGAACACUAUUCAGUAGAAGUUUCUGAGCCUUCCCUAGUAUACGUUGCUCUCUAUAUUCCAUGUUGUUAGGGGAUUGACUCAUUUCCCUCCCAAGUCUUCUGGUUUUCCUUAUCUACCCAUAAGCUUUAAAUGGAGUACAGGUGCUAGAGUAGUGGAAUUUUAAUGUGUUAUCUACCAUAAACACAAGUAUUAGUUGGCAGUGAUAUCGUGUUAUCCAACCAAUUAGUUAGGUAGGUUCAUGCAGCUAGCAUGAGAAGGGAUGAGAUUAAGGAGUUUCUGAAAAGCGAUCAGUUAUAGUCUUUUACAAUGGUUUUGAUAAUGUUAGACUCCUGUUUUUUACAGCGUUUGUUGUAUUUGCUCAUUUGGAUCUCUUACCUAUAAAACAGCACUACAGAUGUGAGUGUACUAUUUUUUGAAGUUGAGGAAGGUAUUAGCAUCUUGAAGUAGCUAGGAUAGUUUGGCUUCUGUUUGUCAUGGUAUUUCUUUUCUAAAUAUGGCCACUGAAUGGGGUAUUUCUGUUUUCUUUGAGCUCUAGUUCGAAUUUGCGAGAUAAUUUGAGGGGGGUAUUUCUCUUUUUUAAGCUCCAGUUGUUCAAUUUCCAGAUAACUCUGAAUGGGGUAUUUCUGUUCUUCUAAGCUCCAGUUGUCUAAAUUUGCCAGCCAAGAGUUAUCAGCCUCAAGAUGUUGCGUUGGAGUAACUGUUGGUCCAGCUUUGUUCCUCUUUUCUCUCAAGCACUUGUAGCUACUUUGAUAGCAUUAGAAUUAAAAGGGAAUUUUUUUUUUUGCUAAAGUACACGAAUUCAGUUCCAUAUAAGUGGAUUUGAUCUCCAAAAGUGGUGAGAAGUUGGGAGGAUUGUAAAUCGG